GUAGGGGGCAAGCGUUGUCCGGAUUCAUUGGGCGUAAAGAGCGUGUAGGCGGCCAGGUAGGUCGGUUGUGAAAACUGGAGGCUCAACCUUCAGACGUCGACCGAAACCAUCUGGCUAGAGUCCGGGAGAGGAGAGUGGAAUUCCUGGUGUAGCGGUGAAAUGCGCAGAUAUCAGGAAGAACACCCGUGGCGAAAGCGGCUCUCUGGAACGGUACUGACGCUGAGACGCGAAAGCGUGGGGAGCGAACAGGAUUAGAUACCCUGGUAGUCCACGCCGUAAACGAUGGGCGCUAGGUGUGGGAGGUGUCGACUCCUCCCGUGCCGCAGCUAACGCAUUAAGCGCCCCGCCUGGGGAGUACGGCCGCAAGGCUAAA
This 373-nucleotide ribosomal RNA is filed under the name uncultured bacterium. Its description in RNAcentral is "bacterial SSU rRNA". It matches the Rfam family "Bacterial small subunit ribosomal RNA", at positions 527 to 898 of the family's 1533-position model. The record is from RNAcentral.